Molecule: transfer RNA, 76 nt
Filed under: Candidatus Hepatincola sp. Av
Lineage: Bacteria; Pseudomonadati; Pseudomonadota; Alphaproteobacteria; Rhodospirillales; Candidatus Hepatincolaceae
Description: tRNA-Ala
Rfam family: tRNA
About the family: Transfer RNA (tRNA) molecules are approximately 80 nucleotides in length. Their secondary structure includes four short double-helical elements and three loops (D, anti-codon, and T loops). Further hydrogen bonds mediate the characteristic L-shaped molecular structure. tRNAs have two regions of fundamental functional importance: the anti-codon, which is responsible for specific mRNA codon recognition, and the 3' end, to which the tRNAs corresponding amino acid is attached (by aminoacyl-tRNA synthetases). tRNAs cope with the degeneracy of the genetic code in two manners: having more than one tRNA (with a specific anti-codon) for a particular amino acid; and 'wobble' base-pairing, i.e. permitting non-standard base-pairing at the 3rd anti-codon position.
Source: RNAcentral
GGGGUUUUAGCUCAGUUGGUAGAGCACUACAAUGGCAUUGUAGGGGUCAGGGGUUCGAUUCCCCUAAGCUCCACCA